GGGCACAUCGUUCAACGGCUAGGACAUUACCUUGUCACGGUAAAGAUAGGGGUUCGAUUCCCCCUUGCGCCCGCCA
RNAcentral lists this transfer RNA (76 nucleotides) under marine sediment metagenome. RNAcentral's name for it is "tRNA-Asp". It matches the Rfam family "tRNA". From Rfam's summary of the family: Transfer RNA (tRNA) molecules are approximately 80 nucleotides in length. Their secondary structure includes four short double-helical elements and three loops (D, anti-codon, and T loops). Further hydrogen bonds mediate the characteristic L-shaped molecular structure. tRNAs have two regions of fundamental functional importance: the anti-codon, which is responsible for specific mRNA codon recognition, and the 3' end, to which the tRNAs corresponding amino acid is attached (by aminoacyl-tRNA synthetases). tRNAs cope with the degeneracy of the genetic code in two manners: having more than one tRNA (with a specific anti-codon) for a particular amino acid; and 'wobble' base-pairing, i.e. permitting non-standard base-pairing at the 3rd anti-codon position. The record is from RNAcentral.